This 1580-nucleotide ribosomal RNA is filed under the name Staphylococcus aureus. RNAcentral describes it as "partial 23S ribosomal RNA". It matches the Rfam family "Bacterial large subunit ribosomal RNA", at positions 1 to 1579 of the family's 2925-position model. The record is from RNAcentral. Lineage: Bacteria; Bacillati; Bacillota; Bacilli; Caryophanales; Staphylococcaceae.
GAUUAAGUUAUUAAGGGCGCACGGUGGAUGCCUUGGCACUAGAAGCCGAUGAAGGACGUUACUAACGACGAUAUGCUUUGGGGAGCUGUAAGUAAGCUUUGAUCCAGAGAUUUCCGAAUGGGGAAACCCAGCAUGAGUUAUGUCAUGUUAUCGAUAUGUGAAUACAUAGCAUAUCAGAAGGCACACCCGGAGAACUGAAACAUCUUAGUACCCGGAGGAAGAGAAAGAAAAUUCGAUUCCCUUAGUAGCGGCGAGCGAAACGGGAAGAGCCCAAACCAACAAGCUUGCUUGUUGGGGUUGUAGGACACUCUAUACGGAGUUACAAAGGACGACAUUAGACGAAUCAUCUGGAAAGAUGAAUCAAAGAAGGUAAUAAUCCUGUAGUCGAAAAUGUUGUCUCUCUUGAGUGGAUCCUGAGUACGACGGAGCACGUGAAAUUCCGUCGGAAUCUGGGAGGACCAUCUCCUAAGGCUAAAUACUCUCUAGUGACCGAUAGUGAACCAGUACCGUGAGGGAAAGGUGAAAAGCACCCCGGAAGGGGAGUGAAAUAGAACCUGAAACCGUGUGCUUACAAGUAGUCAGAGCCCGUUAAUGGGUGAUGGCGUGCCUUUUGUAGAAUGAACCGGCGAGUUACGAUUUGAUGCAAGGUUAAGCAGUAAAUGUGGAGCCGUAGCGAAAGCGAGUCUGAAUAGGGCGUUUAGUAUUUGGUCGUAGACCCGAAACCAGGUGAUCUACCCUUGGUCAGGUUGAAGUUCAGGUAACACUGAAUGGAGGACCGAACCGACUUACGUUGAAAAGUGAGCGGAUGAACUGAGGGUAGCGGAGAAAUUCCAAUCGAACCUGGAGAUAGCUGGUUCUCUCCGAAAUAGCUUUAGGGCUAGCCUCAAGUGAUGAUUAUUGGAGGUAGAGCACUGUUUGGACGAGGGGCCCCUCUCGGGUUACCGAAUUCAGACAAACUCCGAAUGCCAAUUAAUUUAACUUGGGAGUCAGAACAUGGGUGAUAAGGUCCGUGUUCGAAAGGGAAACAGCCCAGACCACCAGCUAAGGUCCCAAAAUAUAUGUUAAGUGGAAAAGGAUGUGGCGUUGCCCAGACAACUAGGAUGUUGGCUUAGAAGCAGCCAUCAUUUAAAGAGUGCGUAAUAGCUCACUAGUCGAGUGACACUGCGCCGAAAAUGUACCGGGGCUAAACAUAUUACCGAAGCUGUGGAUUGUCCUUUGGACAAUGGUAGGAGAGCGUUCUAAGGGCGUUGAAGCAUGAUCGUAAGGACAUGUGGAGCGCUUAGAAGUGAGAAUGCCGGUGUGAGUAGCGAAAGACGGGUGAGAAUCCCGUCCACCGAUUGACUAAGGUUUCCAGAGGAAGGCUCGUCCGCUCUGGGUUAGUCGGGUCCUAAGCUGAGGCCGACAGGCGUAGGCGAUGGAUAACAGGUUGAUAUUCCUGUACCACCUAUAAUCGUUUUAAUCGAUGGGGGGACGCAGUAGGAUAGGCGAAGCGUGCGAUUGGAUUGCACGUCUAAGCAGUAAGGCUGAGUAUUAGGCAAAUCCGGUACUCGUUAAGGCUGAGCUGUGAUGGGGAGAAGACA